UGGGGAAUAUUGGACAAUGGGGGAAACCCUGAUCCAGCAAUGCCGCGUGAGUGAUGAAGGCCUUAGGGUUGUAAAGCUCUUUCGGCGGGGACGAUGAUGACGGUACCCGCAGAAGAAGCCCCGGCUAACUUCGUGCCAGCAGCCGCGGUAAUACGAAGGGGGCGAGCGUUGUUCGGAAUUACUGGGCGUAAAGGGCGCGCAGGCGGCUCAGACAGUCAGAUGUGAAAGCCCCGGGCUUAACCUGGGAACUGCAUUUGAUACUACUGAGCUUGAGUACGGGAGAGGAUAGUGGAAUUCCCAGUGUAGAGGUGAAAUUCGUAGAUAUUGGGAAGAACACCGGUGGCGAAGGCGGCUAUCUGGACCGUAACUGACGCUGAGGCGCGAAAGCGUGGGGAGCAAACAG
RNAcentral lists this ribosomal RNA (403 nucleotides) under uncultured bacterium. RNAcentral's name for it is "bacterial SSU rRNA". It matches the Rfam family "Bacterial small subunit ribosomal RNA", at positions 355 to 775 of the family's 1533-position model. The record is from RNAcentral.